Molecule: ribosomal RNA, 460 nt
Filed under: uncultured bacterium
Lineage: Bacteria
Description: partial 16S ribosomal RNA
Rfam family: Bacterial small subunit ribosomal RNA
Source: RNAcentral
CCUACGGGAGGCAGCAGUGAGGAAUAUUGGUCAAUGGGCGCAAUCCUGAACCAGCCAAGCCGCGUGAAGGAUGACUGCCCUACGAGUUGUAAACUUCUUUUGUAACGGAAUAAAAUGAUGCACGUGUGGGUUUUUGAAUGUACUGUAUGAAUAAGGAUCGGCUAACUCCGUGCCAGCAGCCGCGGUAAUACGGAGGAUCCGAGCGUUAUCCGGAUUUAUUGGGUUUAAAGGGAGCGUAGGUGGGUUUUUAAGUCAGUGGUGAAAGUUUGCGGCUCAACAGUAAAGUUGCCAUUGAUACUGGAGGACUUGAGUUCAGUUGCGGCAGGUGGAAUGUGUGGUGUAGCGGUGAAAUGCUUAGAUAUUACGCAGAACUCCGAUUGCGAAGGCAGCUUGCUAGGCUGCAUCUGACACUGAUGCUCGAAAGUGUGGGUAUCAAACAGGAUUAGAUACCCUUGUAGUC